CGGGGAUAAAAACACGGUCCGGCCGGUAGUCCGGGCGGACAGCGGGGGACCCGUCCCGCCGCCGCUGUCUCAGUAACCUGCCCUCCCAUGGGUUGUCCAUUCCCCG
RNAcentral lists this non-coding RNA (106 nucleotides) under chicken gut metagenome. RNAcentral's name for it is "yjdF RNA". It matches the Rfam family "azaaromatic riboswitch aptamer (yjdF RNA)", at positions 6 to 91 of the family's 101-position model. The record is from RNAcentral.